RNAcentral lists this long non-coding RNA (392 nucleotides) under Chinchilla lanigera (long-tailed chinchilla). Its description in RNAcentral is "lncRNA (ENSCLAG00000028606.1)". The record is from RNAcentral. Lineage: Eukaryota; Metazoa; Chordata; Mammalia; Rodentia; Chinchillidae.
GUUAAAGAAUGACACAAAUUAUGAAGUGGUCAUUAUGAUGCUGUUUUAUCUCUCAUUGCUACUUUAUCUCUCUUUCUUUUAACAGUCUGAGAAGUCAGUAUUAUUACUACUGUGUUUGAGAUGGGUGUCUUGCUAAGUUGCCAAGCUUGGCCUUCAACUUGUGACCCUCCUGUCUCAGCCUAUCAAGUAGUAGGGGCUACAGUUGCCCCAUGGUGUUAAUGAACAUGGACCAGUUGAAGCCCCUCAGAACAUAUGUCAGAUUUGCCCUACUAGAAGAGAUUAAGUUGAAGUGCUGGCACAUUUACACAAACCAGCACGCAUUGGUCUCAGGUGGUUUUGUUAAGGUCCAUCCAUCCAGUGUUACAUGGCCUGGGGGUGAGUUGCAGAAACAG